This 1790-nucleotide long non-coding RNA is filed under the name Sus scrofa (pig). RNAcentral's name for it is "lncRNA (ENSSSCG00045026202.1)". Lineage: Eukaryota; Metazoa; Chordata; Mammalia; Artiodactyla; Suidae. The record is from RNAcentral.
CUUUAAAAUUAUUUUUAUUGUGAAAGUAAUUCAUACACACCAUACAACAAACGGAAAAAUGAAGAAAAAAUGUACGUGUGUACACUUAGAAUUACUCCCUAGAACGGGCAGAUACAGGGGAUUUUCAGGGCAGUGAAAAUAUUCUGUAUGAUACUCUGACGGUGGGUUCAUGUCAUCACACAUUUGUCAAAAGCCAUGGACUGCACAGCCCCAAGAGUGAGCCCGGAUGUCAGCUGUGGACUCUAGGUGAUAACGACCUGUCGGUGUAGCUUCACCCAUUGUAACGAACGUACCCUCUGGUGGGGAUGCUGGUGGCGGGGGAGGUUGUGGGCAGGUGCAGGGAGGGGCAUACGGGAAACUUCCGUACCUUCUGCUCAAUAUUGCUAUCAGUGUAAAACUGCUCUAAAAAAUAAACUCUAUUUAAAAAAAUAAAACGACCUAACUCUUGUUGCCAUUCUGGUGAAUGUCUUUUUAGGGUGUUUUUUUUUUUUUUUUUUUUUUUUUUUUUUUGGCCAUGCUCAAGUCAUGUGGAAAUUCCCCAGCCAGGGAUGGAACCCAUGCCACAGCAGCAACUUGAGCCACAGCAGUGACAAAGUUGGAUCUUUAACUCACUGAUCCACCAGGGAACUCCAUAGGUUUUUUCCUUUUCUUUCUUUUGUUUUGGUCUUUUUAAGGCCUCACCUGCAGCAUAUGAAGAUUCCCAGGCUAGGGCAGCCCUAGAAAAGGCAAAAAGACAAAACAAAACAAAACAAAACAACAACAAAGCAAUACAAGAGUUCCCACUGUGGCACAGCAGGAUCAGCAGCAUCUCUGUAGUGAUGGGACAUAGGCUUGAUCCCCAGCCCAGCACAGGAGGUUAAGGACUGGGCAUUGCCACAGCUGUGGUGUAGGUCACAAUUGCAGCUUGGAUCGCAUCCCUCAUCCGUAUCCCGUGGGGCACACAUACAUACAAACACACACACAUAUACACACAGAAGAAAACUAGAACCCCACCUUCCCAUAGUACUGUGGGCGUUCUCCAUCUACCACGGUCUGUUUUUAUAUCUGGGUCUGUCACCUUGCCCCAGAGAGGUGCCAUCAUUAACCCUCCCGCAGUGUUGGUUGCACAGCCAUGUCAGGAAGUUACAACAUUGCUGGUAAGCGGGAUGGGUCUCUCGAGCCCAUAAUUGCCCGAGAGCAGAUGGCUAGUUACGGGCUGUUCCAGUCAAGGCAUUUAAGUUGCAAAGAAUGGAACCCGUGAAGCCUGGCCUCUGUGAUCAAGGGAGUUACUGGUGGGACAUGGGGAUUGAGGUGCAAAGGGCAGGGCUCCACAUCAGGCCCCACCCGAGCAUGCUGUCCCCACGGCUUGGUUCCCAGGGAAGGGGGAGACAUGUCCUGACGUGCCGUCCUCUGAUGUCACAGCCUCAAGCCCAGAUGCAAUCGCCUCCAAGGGCCCUGGACUGCCUCCCUGUCCUGCGUCCUCGCAUGACAGAUGACUGAGCACUGCCCGGGAAAACGCUUCUUCGUGUGCACCAGGGGAACACGACAGGAGAAAAAGUCACAACCCCCAGCGUCCGCCAGAGUAGAAUGGACGGACUGUGGCACGUUCCUAAAAUGGAAUGAAUACGACGUCGUCUCAGGAAUACAAGGAUGAGAGCUCUUGGGAGUUCCCGUCGUGGCUCAGCAGAAGAGAGUCUGACUGGUGUCCACGAGGGCGCAGGUUUCGACCCUGGCCUCGCUCAGUGGGUUAAGGAUCUGGUGUGGCCAUGAGCUGUGGUGACGGUCGCAAAUGUGGCUCGGAAACGGUGUGG